This 517-nucleotide ribosomal RNA is filed under the name uncultured bacterium. RNAcentral describes it as "bacterial SSU rRNA". It matches the Rfam family "Bacterial small subunit ribosomal RNA", at positions 18 to 518 of the family's 1533-position model. The record is from RNAcentral.
UCUGGCUCAGAUUGAACGCUGGCGGCGUGCUUAACACAUGCAAGUCGCGCGUGAAAGGACUUCGGUCCGAGUAAAGCGGCGCACGGGUGAGUAACGCGUGGAUGAUCUACCCAUGAGUUAGGAAUAACGGCUGGAAACGGUCGCUAAUACCAAAUACGCUCCGAUUUCAACUUCGGGGGAAAGGUGGCCUCUGCUUGCAAGCUACUGCUCAUGGAUGAGUCCGCGUCCCAUUAGCUAGUUGGUGGGGUAACGGCCCACCAAGGCGACGAUGGGUAGCCGGUCUGAGAGGAUGACCGGCCACACUGGGACUGGAACACGGCCCAGACUCCUACGGGAGGCAGCAGUGGGGAAUAUUGCGCAAUGGGCGAAAGCCUGACGCAGCGACGCCGCGUGAGGGAUGAAAGGGUCCUCGGAUCGUAAACCUCUGUCAGGAGGGAAGAACCGCCACGGUGCUAAUCAGCCGUGGUCUGACGGUACCUCCAAAGGAAGCACCGGCUAACUCCGUGCCAGCAGCAGC